RNAcentral lists this ribosomal RNA (488 nucleotides) under uncultured archaeon. Its description in RNAcentral is "bacterial SSU rRNA". It matches the Rfam family "Archaeal small subunit ribosomal RNA", at positions 1 to 467 of the family's 1478-position model. The record is from RNAcentral.
UUCCGGUUGAUCCCGCCGGACCUUACUGCUAUCGGGGUGGGACUAAGACAUGCGAGUCGAGCGUCUCUAGCUAUGUUGAGACGCGGCAGACGGCUCAGUAACACGUGGCUAACCUACCCUCAGGACGAGGAUAAACCCGGGAAACUGGGGCUAAUACUCGAUAGGUGAGGAUGUCUGGAAUGAUUUCUCACUCAAAGGGCCUUGGAAACAUGCUUCCAUUGUCGCCUGGGGAUGGGGCCGCGUCCGAUCAGGUUGUUGGUGAGGUAAUGGCUCACCAAGCCUAUAACCGGUACGGGCCAUGAGAGCGGUAGCCCGGAGAUGGGUACUGAGACAAGGACCCAGGCCCUACGGGGCGCAGCAGUCGCGAAAACUCCGCAAUGCACGAAAGUGUGACGGGGCUACCCCGAGUGCCAUCCGCUGAGGAUGGCUUUCCCUUGGUAUAACUAGCCGAGGGAUUAAGGAGAGGGCAAGACUGGGGUCAGCCGCCG